Long non-coding RNA from Symphalangus syndactylus (siamang), 418 nucleotides. RefSeq lists it as uncharacterized. The record is from RefSeq and is a predicted model, not a curated record. NCBI's taxonomy places the organism in Eukaryota, Metazoa, Chordata, Mammalia, Primates, Hylobatidae.
AGUUCUUACUCUGGUCACGAAUUUUAUUCGGAACUGUCAGCUCGGAUUUGAUUGGUUGAAAAGCAUCAUUCAGAAGGAACCAAUAAAGAGAGAGGGGGAAUUCUGCAAAAAGUAAUAAACUAAAACAAAACCUGAAGGGUAUAAAUGUAAAAUUAAGUCCUUUUACUCUCUCCGGUUGAACUACCUAGAGAAAACCAUUUUAAAUAACAAUUUCAGAAGAUUUUAAAAAUUCAACUCUACCUAAAGACACCAUAAAAUGGCUCAUUAUUCCAUCAUCCAGGCUCCCCUGUUUCUCAGGCCUCCAGACUGAAGCUGAGUUAUACCACCAGCUCUCCUCGGUCUCCAGUUUGCAGACAACAGAUCAUGGGACUUCUCAGCCUCCAUAAUCACAGGAGUCAUAAUAAAUCUGUCUGCCCCC